Molecule: transfer RNA, 69 nt
Filed under: Rattus norvegicus (Norway rat)
Lineage: Eukaryota; Metazoa; Chordata; Mammalia; Rodentia; Muridae
Rfam family: tRNA
About the family: Transfer RNA (tRNA) molecules are approximately 80 nucleotides in length. Their secondary structure includes four short double-helical elements and three loops (D, anti-codon, and T loops).
Source: Rfam by way of RNAcentral
GGGGAUAUAGCUCAGUGGUAGAGCACUUGCCUAGCAAGCACAAGGCCCUGGGUUCGGUCCCCAGCUCCG